UUUAAAGAGUGCGUAAUAGCUCACUAGUCGAGUGGCUCUGCGCCGAAAAUGUACCGGGGCUAAACAUAUUACCGAAACUGUGGAUUUAUGCGAUAGCAUAAGUGGUAGGGGAGCGUUCUAAGGGCGAUGAAGAUAGAUCGAGAGGACUAUUGGAGCGCUUAGAAGUGAGAAUGCCGGUGUGAGUAACGUAAGGUAGGUGAGAAUCCUACCCACUGAUUGACCAAGGAUUCCAGGGUCAAGUUCGUCUACCCUGGGUAAGUCAGGACCUAAGGCGAGGCUGAGAAGCGUAGUCGAUGGACAACAGGUUUAUAUUCCUGUACUAUUUAUAGGACUGAAGGAGUGACAAAGGAAGCUAGUAAGAGCCAUUUAAUGGAUUAUGGUCUAAGCACAAAGACUGAUACAUAGGAAAAUCCGUGAUAUCGAACGGUUGAAGUGUGAUGGCGAAGCAGUCUACGGACAGCGAAGUCUUAUGAGGCUAAACUUUUUAAAAAAGCUUCUAAAGAAAUGCUAUAAAUACCUGUACUAAGAACCAACGCAGGUGGUCAAGGAGAGAAUCCUAAGGUGAGCGAGAGAACUAUGGUUAAGGAACUCGGCACAAUGAUCCCGUAACUUCGGAAUAAGGGAAGGUCUUGAAAAAGACCCGCAGUGAAUAGGCCCAAGCGACUGUUUACCAAAAACACAGGUUUCUGCAAAAGCGUAAGCUGAAGUAUAGGAGCUGACGCCUGCCCAGUGCUGGAAGGUUAAGAUGAUUUGUAAGAUGGACGAAAGUCGAUAACAUCGAAGCAAUGAAUUGAAGCCCCAGUGAACGGCGGCGAUAACUAUAAUCGUCCAAAGGUAGCGAAAUUCCUUGUCAGGUAAGUUCUGACCCGCACGAAAGGCGUAACGAUUUGGGCACUGUCUCAACCAUAGACUCGGUGAAAUCUUAAUACCUGUGAAAAUGCAGGUUACCAGCGACAGGACGGGAAGACCCCAUGGAGCUUUACUGUAGCUUGAUAUUGAAAUCAGGUAGUUAAUGUAGAGGAUAGGUGGUAGACAAUGAAGUUAAGACGCUAGUCUUAAUGGAGUCGACCUUGGAAUACCACCCUUUGACUAUUUGAUUUCUAACUUGCACCCGUAAUCCGGGUGAAGGACAGUGUCUGGUGGGCAGUUUGACUGGGGCGGUCGCCUCCU
RNAcentral lists this ribosomal RNA (1170 nucleotides) under human gut metagenome. Its description in RNAcentral is "bacterial LSU rRNA". It matches the Rfam family "Bacterial large subunit ribosomal RNA", at positions 1122 to 2291 of the family's 2925-position model. The record is from RNAcentral.